GACGAACGCUGGCGGCGUGCUUAACACAUGCAAGUCGAACGGAAAGGCCCUGCUUUUUUGGGGUGCUCGAGUGGCGAACGGGUGAGUAACACGUGAGUAACCUGCCCUUGACUUUGGGAUAACUUCAGGAAACUGGGGCUAAUACCGGAUAGGAGCUCCUGCUGCUUUGUGGGGGUUGGAAAGUUUCGGCGGUUGGGGAUGGACUCGCGGCUUUUCAGCUUGUUGGUGGGGUAGUGGCUUACCAAGGCAUUGACGGGUAGCCGGCCUGAGAGGGUGACCGGCCACCGUAGGACUGAGGUAAGGCACAGACUCGUACGGGAGGCAGCGGUGGGGAAUAUUACACAAAACGCGGACGCCAGAUGGAGCCCCCCCGCGUGGGAGAGGACGGCAUUCAGGUUGGAAACCGCUUUCGCCUGUGACGAAGCGUGAGUGACGGUAAUGGGUAAAGAAGCACCGGCUAACUACGUG
Molecule: ribosomal RNA, 468 nt
Filed under: uncultured bacterium
Lineage: Bacteria
Description: partial 16S ribosomal RNA
Rfam family: Bacterial small subunit ribosomal RNA
Source: RNAcentral